UACGUAGGGUCCGAGCGUUGUCCGGAGUUACUGGGCGUAAAGCGCGCGCAGGCGGCGGUGCUGGCCCGGCGUGAAAGCCCCCGGCUCAACCGGGGAGGGUCGUCGGGGACCGCACCGCUUGAGGGCGGUAGGGGCUGGUGGAAUGCCUGGUGUAGUGGUGAAAUGCGUAGAGAUCAGGCGGAACAACCGUGGCGAAGGCGGCCAGCUGGGCCGUCCCUGACGCUGAGGCGCGAAGGCGUGGGGAGCGAACGGG
This 253-nucleotide ribosomal RNA is filed under the name uncultured bacterium. Its description in RNAcentral is "partial 16S ribosomal RNA". It matches the Rfam family "Bacterial small subunit ribosomal RNA", at positions 524 to 776 of the family's 1533-position model. The record is from RNAcentral.